GAAUCUUGGACAAUGGGGGAAACCCUGAUCCAGCGACGCCGCGUGAGCGAUGAAGCCCCUCGGGGUGUAAAGCUCUUUCGGCGGGGACAAUAAUGAUGGUACCCGCAGAAGCAGGUGCGGCUACCUACGUGCCAGCAGCCGCGGUAAUACGUAGGCACCAAGCGUUGUUCGGAAUUACUGGGCGUAAAGCGAGUGUAGGCGGUUCGCCAAGUCCUCUGUGAAAUCUCCCGGCUCAACUGGGAGGGUGCGGCGGAAACUGGCGGGCUUGAGUACGAGAGGGGAGAGUGGAAUUCCUGGUGUAGCGGUGAAAUGCGUAGAUAUCAGGAGGAACACCGGUGGUGAAGACGGCUCUCUGGAUCGUAACUGACGCUGAGACUCGAAAGCGUGGGUAGCAAACAGG
RNAcentral lists this ribosomal RNA (400 nucleotides) under uncultured bacterium. RNAcentral's name for it is "bacterial SSU rRNA". It matches the Rfam family "Bacterial small subunit ribosomal RNA", at positions 359 to 776 of the family's 1533-position model. The record is from RNAcentral.